UUGCUGUGCCAGGCGUGUGGAUUCCUCCUGAUCGACCCGCAGCAGGCCGAGUGCGGGCAUCGCUACUGCGGGGGCUGCGUGAAAGGGCUUUUCAGGGAUACAGACAAUAGGGCAUGCUGUACUUUUAAACAAAGACUCAGAACACAACAGUUCCAUAAUGACAAAGCCGCGGAGAACGAGUCACACAAGUUGCGCUUGUUUUGACUGCGCUUGGACCGGAACCUUCAAAUCAUACCAGGAACACACUUGCCUCCCUGUGGCACAUUGAGAACUUCAAGGAAAGCCAUCUCUCCUCUUGGAGAUCAAGACACUGAUGAAGAAAGGAAAAGCUGGAUAAGGAAUACAAAAGGCUGAUGCUGCCCUCAAUGUGGAGGCUCUCCAGAUGCGCAUGGAAGCCAUGGAGCUGCUGGUGGUGUCUCUGCGCCGACAGAUAGUCAGCCAGGGAGCUGCGAUGAAGUCCCUCCAGCGCAGCUGCUCCCAGUAUGAGCGGCUGCUCAAAAUGUCUCAGGAGACGCACGAUUCCCCCCAUGGAAGCCAAGGAUCUGAGUCGAGGGGGCCGGAGCUGGUCAGCACUGACGGGACCCUGGUGUGGAAGGUGGAGAAAUUUUCCAAGCUCUUGAAAGAGGCCAAAGCCAGAAGGAGGCAAUCCCAUCUACUCCCCUGCCUUUGCCACCCACAUUUAUGGCUACCACCUUUGCAUCCGGCUGUACCCAGACGGAGACAGUAUCGGCAAAGGCGGCCACCGUAAAUAGGAAGUCAUUUAUUCAUUCUGUGGCACUUUAAACGGGGCUUUGCAAUCACUAAGGAUUCCAGGAUGUACAUCCUGAAACAUGAGUUUUUUCUGCCUCACAUGCCAUUUAUUAACAAUGGUAUUUAUAUAUACAACAAUAAUGUACUUGAUGUUGUGCAAGUCAUAAUAAAUAUAUCUAUGUG
Molecule: non-coding RNA, 933 nt
Organism: Pogona vitticeps (central bearded dragon)
Lineage: Eukaryota; Metazoa; Chordata; Lepidosauria; Squamata; Agamidae
Source: RefSeq, a predicted model, not a curated record